GUUGCUAAAAGUGGGAAAUUCAGUAAAAAAUUUGAAGGCUUUGCUGGAACAAGUGAUCCUUUAGGCAAGAAACUAAACAACACUAAAACUCGAGAGGAAGUAGGAUGGGAGCCAAAAUACCCUAGCUUUGCUCAUUUUCUUGGUGUAUCUAACUAACUGCUAUCUGUCUUUUGCACUUGGAUGGAAUAUAAUUGAUAGGAAAGGACAGAGUCAACUGGCUCAAAGAAUGCUCAGAGAUGAGCUACUGACCUCUUUUUAAAUUUGUUCAGCUCUUUCCUGAGGUACUUCUUGCAGGUUGCCUAUGAAAUAUCACACUUUCGAGCACAUUUAGAUGGUCAGAACCAUUUAUACUCGCAUUCGAUUUUAUGAGAUUUAUGUAUAUGUAUAUCAUAUCGGUGUAUAAUGCGAGCUUUUGUAUUUUCUAGCAAUACUGCAAGUUGUAAGAACAUUUAUUCAUCUUGAAUAUGCUUGACGCAAAAUCCAAGAUUAUGC
RNAcentral lists this unclassified non-coding RNA (492 nucleotides) under Hevea brasiliensis (rubber tree). Lineage: Eukaryota; Viridiplantae; Streptophyta; Magnoliopsida; Malpighiales; Euphorbiaceae. The record is from RNAcentral.